UUCGCAAUGCCCGAAAGGGUGACGAUGCGACGCCGCGUGAGCGAAGAAGGCCCUAGGGUUGUAAAGCUCUGUCGAGGGUUAUGAAAUAUAGAUGGGUUAAUACCCCAUUUAUUUGACAAAGGCCCAAAAGGAAGCCACGGCUAACUCUGUGCCAGCAGCCGCGGUGAUACAGAGGUGGCGAGCGUUGUUCGGUAUUAUUGGGCGUAAAGAGCACGUAGGUGGUUUUGUAAGUCAGGUGUGAAAGCCUUCUGUUCAAAGGAAGAACGGCAUCUGAAACUGCAGAUCUUGAGUGUAGGAGGGGAGAGUGGAACUUCUGGUGGAGCGGUGAAAUGCGUAGAUAUCAGAAGGAACGUCGGCGGCGAAAGCGACUCUCUGGCCCGUAACUGACGCUGAGUGUGCGAAAGCUAGGGGAGCAAACGGGAUUAGAUACCCCGGUAGUCCUAGCCGUAAACGAUGGGCACUAAGUAGAGGGGUUUU
This 477-nucleotide ribosomal RNA is filed under the name Candidatus Scalindua wagneri. Its description in RNAcentral is "bacterial SSU rRNA". It matches the Rfam family "Bacterial small subunit ribosomal RNA", at positions 365 to 832 of the family's 1533-position model. The record is from RNAcentral. Lineage: Bacteria; Pseudomonadati; Planctomycetota; Candidatus Brocadiia; Candidatus Brocadiales; Candidatus Scalinduaceae.